Mercurialis annua (annual mercury) is the source of this 631-nucleotide long non-coding RNA. RefSeq lists it as uncharacterized. The record is from RefSeq and is a predicted model, not a curated record. NCBI's taxonomy places the organism in Eukaryota, Viridiplantae, Streptophyta, Magnoliopsida, Malpighiales, Euphorbiaceae. The transcript has 3 exons.
ACUAAUAACCUAAACAGACUUUACAAUUCUAAACCCUAAUGUCUCUCCUAUAUUCAGUUUCUUCACGCCGCUUCUCCAAUAUUCAGUUUCUUCUUCAAUUUCUUCAAGCCAAUAACGCUUCACGCCGGUGACUCUUCACGUCACCACAACGAUCUGCUCUUUGUUGCCUUUGCUCCUUCAACGAUCUGGUCUUCGUCGUCUCUGCCCCUUCAACAACCUGCUCUUUGGCCGCCUCUUUUGUUCGUGUCGAUCUGCUUCUACUCGGCAAUUCUGGUGUUCGUCAUCCCCUACUCCAUCGCCGACCACAUCUGCUUCCCUGAGGGCUGUUCAUCAAAUGCAAAAAAGGACACUGAAAUGCCUAUAAUGAAAGUCCAUAAAGAGACGAGAAUAAUUACUACCUUUCUCCAAGAAUGUCGAAUAUAAAUGAGGGUGUCAUUCAAAUUCAAUUGACUCAAGACUCACAAACAAGUCCAGUUUGGGAUAAUAUUGCUGAAAAUGAAGAUGUUGAAAAAGAAGGAAAUGCAUCUAUUACAUUAUUUUGUCUUUAGAAUUUUAUGUUGUUUAUGUAUUUUGUAAUUUAUGUUUAGAUAAUUUUUUGUUGGAUUUAUCAGUUGUACUUUAAAUUUUAUUA